Molecule: ribosomal RNA, 534 nt
Filed under: uncultured bacterium
Lineage: Bacteria
Description: bacterial SSU rRNA
Rfam family: Bacterial small subunit ribosomal RNA
Source: RNAcentral
UAGUCCACGCUGUAAACGAUGGAUACUAGGUGUUUGGGGCGUUAACCCCCUGAGUACUAAAGCUAACGCAUUAAGUAUCCCGCCUGGGGAGUACGGUCGCAAGGCUAAAACUCAAAGGAAUUGACGGGGGCCCGCACAAGCGGUGGAGUAUGUGGUUUAAUUCGAAGCAACGCGCAGAACCUUACCUACCCUUAACAUCCCGGGACAACCUCAGAGAUGAGGCUUUCUCUUCGGAGACUCGGUGAUAGGUGCUGCAUGGCUGUCGUCAGCUCGUGUCGUAAGAUGUCUGGUUAAGUCCAAAAACGAGCGCAACCCCUAUCCUUAGUUGCCAGCAUUAAGUUGGGGACUCUAGGGAGACUGCCGGUGUUAAACCGGAGGAAGGCGGGAUGACGUCAAGUCCUCAUGGCCCUUACGGGGUAGGGGCUACACACGUACUACAAUGGCAGAAACAAACCGUUGCGAUACCGAGAGGGUGGAGCUAAUCGGGUAAAACACUGUCUCAGUCCAGAUUGGGAGUCUGCAACUCGACUCCAU